UACGGAGGAUGCGAGCGUUAUCCGGAUUUAUUGGGUUUAAAGGGUGCGUAGGCGGUCCGCUAAGUCAGCGGUAAAAUUGCGGGGCUCAACCCCGUCGAGCCGUUGAAACUGUCAGACUUGAGUUGGCGAGAAGUACGCGGAAUGCGCGGUGUAGCGGUGAAAUGCAUAGAUAUCGCGCAGAACUCCGAUUGCGAAGGCAGCGUACCGGCGCCACACUGACGCUGAGGCACGAAAGCGUGGGGAUCGAACAGG
RNAcentral lists this ribosomal RNA (252 nucleotides) under uncultured bacterium. RNAcentral describes it as "partial 16S ribosomal RNA". It matches the Rfam family "Bacterial small subunit ribosomal RNA", at positions 524 to 776 of the family's 1533-position model. The record is from RNAcentral.